GCCUGGCUGGCUAGUCUAUGGGGUUGCAAAGAAUCAGACACUGAGUGACUGACACUUUCAUACUUCUUUCAUCUCCAUUUUACAGAUAAGAAAACUGAGGCACAAGACAAUGAGGUGACUUGCCCAAGGUCAUCUCUUAGUAAGAAGAGGAGCCAGAUUCAAACCCACGCUCUCUGGAACCCGCAUUCACGUUCCUAACGCUCUUUGCUUCUGUCUCUUGCUCAUCUUGGGAAGCCAGACAACUCCCAGAGCUGGAAAUCUCUCUCUCUGCUAAUUGCUGUCAUCAUCCAUCAAGAUCACCAACAGAGCAGCAUUCCAGCCAGAGAGGCCUUGGGGCCCAGGUGAGCUCCAGGACCAGGAAGCCAGGGGCCCAUAUGGGGCUGCACCUGCUGGGCAUCUCCAUCAGGAGGCGCCAAGGAGACACACGCAGUCGGAGUCCGGACCAGCCUCUCAGGCUGUGUACCUUGGAGUCAUUGGCCCUGGGACUACCAAGCCACCUACCUUGGGGACCUGGGGGUGGCGGAGCUAUGUGGUUCAGGAUGCCUUCAACAUUUUAA
Molecule: long non-coding RNA, 557 nt
Organism: Bos indicus x Bos taurus (hybrid cattle)
Lineage: Eukaryota; Metazoa; Chordata; Mammalia; Artiodactyla; Bovidae
Source: Ensembl